Molecule: ribosomal RNA, 253 nt
Filed under: uncultured prokaryote
Description: partial 16S ribosomal RNA
Rfam family: Bacterial small subunit ribosomal RNA
Source: RNAcentral
ACGAAGGAUCCAAGCGUUGUCCGGAUUUACUGGGUUUAAAGGGUGCGUAGGCGGCCUUUUAAGUCAGUGGUGAAAGCCCUCAGCUCAACUGAGGAACUGCCAUUGAUACUGAAAGGCUUGAGUACAGACGAGGUAGGCGGAAUUGAAGAUGUAGCGGUGAAAUGCAUAGAUAUCUUCAAGAACACCGAUUGCGUAGGCAGCUUACUAGGCUGUAACUGACGCUGAGGCACGAAAGCGUGGGGAGCGAACAGGA